RNAcentral lists this ribosomal RNA (587 nucleotides) under uncultured bacterium. RNAcentral describes it as "partial 16S ribosomal RNA". It matches the Rfam family "Bacterial small subunit ribosomal RNA", at positions 355 to 1375 of the family's 1533-position model. The record is from RNAcentral.
UGGGGAAUUUUGGACAAUGGGCGAAAGCCUGAUCCAGCAAUGCCGCGUGUGUGAAGAAGGCCUUCGGGUUGUAAAGCACUUUUGUCCGGAAAGAAAUCCUUGGCUCUAAUACAGUCGGGGGAUGACGGUACCGGAAGAAUAAGCACCGGCUAACUACGUGCCAGCAGCCGCGGUAAUACGUAGGGUGCAAGCGUUAAUCGGAAUUACUGGGCGUAAAGCGUGCGCAGGCGGUUUGCUAAGACCGAUGUGAAAUCCCCGGGCUCAACCUGGGAACUGCAUUGGUGACUGGCAGGCUAGAGUAUGGCAGAGGGGGGUAGAAUUCCACGUGUAGCAGUGAAAUGCGUAGAGAUGUGGAGGAAUACCGAUGGCGAAGGCAGCCCCCUGGGCCAAUACUGACGCUCAUGCACGAAAGCGUGGGGGAGCAAACAGGAUUAGAUACCCUGGUAGUCCACGCCCUAAAACGAUGUCAACUAGUUGUUGGGGAUUCAUUUCCUUAGUAACGUAGCUAACGCGUGAAGUUGACCGCCUGGGGAGUACGGUCGCAAGAUUAAAACUCAAAUGAAUUGACGGGGUCAUAGCUGUUUCCU